Molecule: ribosomal RNA, 253 nt
Filed under: uncultured bacterium
Lineage: Bacteria
Description: partial 16S ribosomal RNA
Rfam family: Bacterial small subunit ribosomal RNA
Source: RNAcentral
GACGUAGGGCGCGAGCGUUGUCCGGAUUUAUUGGGCGUAAAGAGCUCGUAGGCGGCUUGUCGCGUCGUUCGUGAAAACCUGUGGCUCAACUGCAGGCUUGCGGUCGAUACGGGCAGGCUGGAGUUCGGUAGGGGAGACUGGAAUUCCUGGUGUAGCGGUGAAAUGCGCAGAUAUCAGGAGGAACACCGGUGGCGAAGGCGGCGACCUGGGUAGAUACUGACGCUGAGGUGCGAAAGCGUGGGGAGCAAACAGG